Molecule: ribosomal RNA, 252 nt
Filed under: uncultured bacterium
Lineage: Bacteria
Description: partial 16S ribosomal RNA
Rfam family: Bacterial small subunit ribosomal RNA
Source: RNAcentral
UACGUAGGGGGCAAGCGUUGUCCGGAUUUAUUGGGCGUAAAGAGCGUGUAGGCGGCCAGUAGGUCUGCUGUGAAAACUCGAGGCUUAACCUCGAGCUGUCGGCGGAAACCAUCUGGCUAGAGUCCGGAAGAGGAGAAUGGAAUUCCCGGUGUAGUGGUGAAAUGCGUAGAGAUCGGCAGGAACACCCAGGGGGAAACCAGUCGACUGGGCAGCACCUGACGCUGAGGUGCGAGAGCGUGGGGAGCGAACCGG